Molecule: long non-coding RNA, 574 nt
Filed under: Fukomys damarensis (Damara mole-rat)
Lineage: Eukaryota; Metazoa; Chordata; Mammalia; Rodentia; Bathyergidae
Description: lncRNA (ENSFDAG00000024503.1)
Source: RNAcentral
ACUCUGUAAAAUUAUCCCCAUCCAAAUUUUGAUACCCAUUUUUCUUGUGACAUAGGAUGUCAUGAAUCUGGAAAGAUCACCUAAAAAGACCAAUGGGAAGCAAUUCCACGAUAACCAUCUUCAUAUACAAGAAGACCAAGAGAAGGCCAUCCAACAGAUCCAGUUGGGGCAGCUUUGUUUCCCAGCUACUACCAGACCCCAGGCUGGCCGCCUUCGGUGCCCAUGUUUGAAGUCUGUGCCCCGAGAGUUGCCAGAGUCCCCGCGCCAAGCCGAGCCCCGGGAGGGCCUCCUGUGGUCUCCUCCGCGGUCCCGCGUCUACCUGAUUAUAAGGUUGCAAAAUGAGUUGACCAAAUGUGGAAUCUUGAAGAACAUGAGCGACUAUGAAGAUUUUUGGAAGUUGAUUGGGGAGGAAGCUCAUGGAACAGAUAUCAAAGAACAGCUCCAGAAGAUAAAAAUUAAAAAUCCAGACAUCUCUGGAACCAGUACCCUCUCUGUCUCAAACACAAGAAGAAUUUCAGCGGCCACCUCCCAGGGUAAGUGACAUAAAGUCUUCAUGGUGACCUUAAGAUUAUUU